ACUUUACUCUCCCCAACUUUAGAUUCCAAAACCAAAUUUAUUCAAUAAUGCUCCCUACUUAGACAUAAGCAAAAGGCAAAAUUUGCAAACAACUCGGUUUGAGGGUUCAAUUGAUACGAAAGAAAUUAGGAUUCAUUUAUUCCAAAAUUUUCAAUUGAUUUUACAAUGAUCAAUCAAAUGAAUCCUAAAAUAAGCUCAAAGGGGUUUAACUAAGGAUUACUCCUCACAAGGUUAGUUGAUUCAAACUUUUUGGUCAAGUGGUUUUU
RNAcentral lists this long non-coding RNA (266 nucleotides) under Lathyrus oleraceus (garden pea). RNAcentral describes it as "Pisum sativum (pea) long non-coding RNA (PSAT_LNC038367)". The record is from RNAcentral. Lineage: Eukaryota; Viridiplantae; Streptophyta; Magnoliopsida; Fabales; Fabaceae.